CUGAUCUCGAAGAGGUGCCUGUGUUUUAUGCUGCUGAUUUCACGGCAAGUAAGUGGUUCCCUAAUUAGCACAGAGCCUAUGCUACAAAAGGAAAGAAUGGUUAACUGACUUCUUGAACAGUCUGCCAUUUACUUAGCCCUACAUCUACUAUGCCCCCACAGUAGAAAAUUACAGAUGUUACUUUCAGCUAUUCCUCAGAAGUUGUAUGUUGAAUGAUUUUCUAAAAUCUUUCUUCUUUUCCACGGAGCAGUUUAUUCCCUUUUUCAGCCCAUGGUCCCUGCUCACCUGUGCAGGGAGUCGGAUCUUGGAUGUGACACUGCUGCCAGACUCUGCCUCCUCCUGAAUUUCUAGCUCAUCCCAGCUGGUGGCUGUGGCCAGAACUGAGCCAGCAUCAUCUAGAAGUAAUGACUGGGUGAAUCCAUGAAUCAAAACCUGGUAAUAAAAGGCAGAUAUCCAUACAAGCC
This is a long non-coding RNA of Homo sapiens (human), 464 nucleotides long. The record is from Ensembl. Lineage: Eukaryota; Metazoa; Chordata; Mammalia; Primates; Hominidae.